GACGAACGCUGGCGGCGUGCCUAAUACAUGCAAGUUGAGCGCUGAAGGUUGGUACUUGUACCAACUGGAUGAGCAGCGAACGGGUGAGUAACGCGUGGGGAAUCUGCCUUUGAGCGGGGGACAACAUUUGGAAACGAAUGCUAAUACCGCAUAAAAACUUUAAACACAAGUUUUAAGUUUGAAAGAUGCAAUUGCAUCACUCAAAGAUGAUCCCGCGUGGUAUUAGCUAGUUGGUGAGGUAAAGGCUCACCAAGGCGAUGAUACAUAGCCGACCUGAGAGGGUGAUCGGCCACAUUGGGACUGAGACACGGCCCAAACUCCUACGGGAGGCAGCAGUAGGGAAUCUUCGGCAAUGGAAGAAAGUCUGACCGAGCAACGCCGCGUGAGUGAAGAAGGUUUUCGGAUCGUAAAACUCUGUUGGUAGAGAAGAACGUUGGUGAGAGUGGAAAGCUCAUCAAGUGACGGUAACUACCCAGAAAGGGACGGCUAACUACGUG
Molecule: ribosomal RNA, 497 nt
Filed under: uncultured bacterium
Lineage: Bacteria
Description: partial 16S ribosomal RNA
Rfam family: Bacterial small subunit ribosomal RNA
Source: RNAcentral